UUAAGCAUAUCAAUAAGCGGAGGAAAAGAAACCAACAGGGAUUGCCUUAGUAACGGCGAGUGAAGCGGCAACAGCUCAAAUUUGAAAGCUGGCUCCUUCGGAGUCCGCGUUGUAAUUUGUAGAGGAUGAUUCGGCGAGGGCUCCCGCCUAAGUCCCCUGGAACGGGGCGUCAUAGAGGGUGAGAAUCCCGUAUGCGGUGGGUUGCCUUAGCCAUGUGAAUCUCCUUCGACGAGUCGAGUUGUUUGGGAAUGCAGCUCUAAAUGGGAGGUAAAUUUCUUCUAAAGCUAAAUACCGGCCAGAGACCGAUAGCGCACAAGUAGAGUGAUCGAAAGAUGAAAAGCACUUUGGAAAGAGAGUUAAAAAGUACGUGAAAUUGUUGAAAGGGAAGCGCUUGCAGCCAGACUUGUCCGCAGUUGCUCAACCGGUCUCCUGACCGGUGUACUCUUCUGCGGCCAGGCCAGCAUCAGUUCGGGCGGUCGGAUAAAGGCCCUGGGAAUGUAGCUCCUCUCGGGGAGUGUUAUAGCCCAGGGUGGAAUGCGGCCAGCCUGGACUGAGGAUCUCGCUUCGGCUAGGAUGCUGGCGUAAUGGCUGUAAGCGGCCCGUCUUGAAACACGGACCAAGGAGUCUAACAUCUAUGCGAGUGUUUGGGUGUCAAACCCAUGCGCGUAAUGAAAGUGAACGGAGGUGGGAACCCUCACGGGUGCACCAUCGACCGAUCCUGAUGUCUUCGGAUGGAUUUGAGUAAGAGCAUAGCUGUUGGGACCCGAAAGAUGGUGAACUAUGCCUGAAUAGGGUGAAGCCAGAGGAAACUCUGGUGGAGGCUCGCAGCGGUUCUGACGUGCAAAUCGAUCGUCAAACUCCCCCCCAGGGGUUA
RNAcentral lists this ribosomal RNA (874 nucleotides) under Macrophomina phaseolina. RNAcentral describes it as "LSU rRNA". It matches the Rfam family "Eukaryotic large subunit ribosomal RNA", at positions 34 to 926 of the family's 3401-position model. Lineage: Eukaryota; Fungi; Ascomycota; Dothideomycetes; Botryosphaeriales; Botryosphaeriaceae. The record is from RNAcentral.